CUUCAUCAGAUUUUCCAUUCAAGUCACUUCAUGUUGGGGAAGUUAGUUCUGUUGAGGGUUUCACCACUGCACUCUGGGCAAUAUCUUGGUUUGGUUGAUUAAGGAUUUCUGACCACAGUUUAUAUAAGAAUCAGAUGCUUGGAAACAUCUCAAGUCUUGCAAAAGUUGCCAGCCAGAAACAAGCUCACAUAAGGAUGGUACAGAAGUGCAAAUCACAUCUGGAAUGUCCUCUAACAAUCUCAAGACUUUUUCAAAAGGAGACACAGAGAGGGAGACAUCCCAGAGAAUGAUUUCAGAUUGUGAAGGCAUUCAACAUGCAUGUUUUUAAGGUAAAAAUACCUCCAGCCUAGCUUGGUUCCUAUGUAAUUUUGCAGGUACCUCUCCCCAAUCUCAAGGAAAUCACCUGUUUUGUGAACUGCAGAUGCUGCUAAAAUUGAUGUGAAAAACAGUGGUCCAGACAUUAUCUGUGUGAGAAAUUUCUUUAAAAUGCCAGAGCUGUUCUAUGGUAACAAAUUGUAUCAAAA
Molecule: long non-coding RNA, 524 nt
Filed under: Ficedula albicollis (Collared flycatcher)
Lineage: Eukaryota; Metazoa; Chordata; Aves; Passeriformes; Muscicapidae
Description: lncRNA (ENSFALG00000026659.1)
Source: RNAcentral